GACGCAAGGAAACACGUCGCCCACGCGGGCACCAAGGUGACGUGCGGAGCCAGUGGUGCGACCGGC
Molecule: non-coding RNA, 66 nt
Filed under: Deinococcus maricopensis
Lineage: Bacteria; Thermotogati; Deinococcota; Deinococci; Deinococcales; Deinococcaceae
Also listed under: 1 other name
Description: c-di-GMP sequence
Rfam family: c-di-GMP-II-GAG riboswitch aptamer
Source: RNAcentral